GGACUGGGGGCAUGGACAGCUCUGUAUUGGUCCAUACCGGCCCGUACUGGUCUGUGCUGGUUCAUACCGGUUUAUACUGGUUUAUACCGGUCCGUACUGGUCUGUGCUGGUUCAUACCGGUUUAUACUGGUCUGUACUGGUUUAUACUGGUUUAUACUGGUCUGUACUGGUUUAUACUGGUUUAUACUGGUCUGUACUGGUUUAUACUGGUCCGUACUGGUCUGUACUGGUUUAUACUGGUCUGUACUGGUUUGUACUGGUUUAUACCGGUCCAUACUGGUUUAUACUGGUCCGUACUGGUUUAUACCGGUCUGUACUGGUUUAUACCGGUCCGUACUGGUUUAUACCGGUCUGUACUGGUUCAUACUGGUCCGUACUGGUUCAUACUGGUCCGUACUGGUCUGUACUGGUUCAUACUGGUCCGUACUGGUUUAUACUGGUCCGUACUGGUUUAUACCGGUCUGUACUGGUCCAUACUGGUUGAUACUGGUCUGUACUGGUUUAUACCGGUCUGUACUGGUCCAUACUGGUUUAUACUGGUCUGUACUGGUUUAUACUGGUUUAUACUGGUUUAUACUGGUUUAUACUGGUUUGUACCGGUCCGUACUGGUCCAUACUGGUUUAUACUGGUUUAUACUGGUCCAUACUGGUUUAUACUGGUCCGUACUGGUUUGUACCGGUCCGUACUGGUCCAUACUGGUUUAUUCUGGUUUAUACUGGUUUAUACUGGUUUAUACUGGUUUAUACUGGUCCGUACUGGUCCGUACUGGUUUAUACUGGUUUAUACCGGUCCGUACUGGUCCAUACUGGUUUAUACCGGUCCGUACUGGUCCAUACUGGUUCAUACUGGUCCGUACUGGUGCAGGGCACGCUGGAGGACGGGACCCCCUUUGACAGCAGCCUGAGCCCGGAGCAGCCGUUCGUGUUCUCACUGGGGACGGGCCAGGUCAUCAAGGGCUGGGACCAGGGGCUGCUGGGGUGAGUGACCAGAGUGACCACUGACCCCUGAGUGACCAGAGUGACCACUGAGUGACCCCUGAGUGACCACUGACUGACCACUGAGUGACCCCUGAGUGACCCUGAGUGACAGUGACACCAAACUGGGGACGGGCCAGGUCAUCAAGGGCUGGGACCAGGGGCUGCUGGGGUGAGUGACCAGAGUGACCACUGACCACUGACCACUGACCACUGAGUGACCCUGAGUGACCCUGAGUGACCACUGAGUGACCACUGAGUGACCCCUGAGUGACCCCUGAGUGACCCCUGAGU
Molecule: long non-coding RNA, 1269 nt
Filed under: Cyanistes caeruleus (blue tit)
Lineage: Eukaryota; Metazoa; Chordata; Aves; Passeriformes; Paridae
Description: lncRNA (ENSCCEG00000003592.1)
Source: RNAcentral